CCUACGGGAGGCAGCAGUAGGGAAUUUUCGUCAAUGGGCGCAAGCCUGAACGAGCAAUGCCGCGUGAACGAGGAAGGUCUUCGGAUCGUAAAGUUCUGUUGAAGGGGAAAAAGAGCGGAGAGAGGAAAUGAACUCCGAUUGAUAUUACCCUUCGAGGAAGUCACGGCUAACUACGUGCCAGCAGCCGAAGUAAUACGUAGGUGGCGAGCGUUAUCUGGAAUGAUUGGGCGUAAAGGGUGCGUAGGCGGCCUGCUAAGUCUGGAGUGAAAGGUACCGGCUCAACCGGUAUAGGCUCUCGAAACUGGCGGGCUAGAGGGCAGGAGAGGGCGGUGGAACUCCAGGUGUAGCGGUAAAAUGCGUAAAUAUAUGGAAGAACACCAGUGGCGAAGGCGGCCGCCUGGCCUGUUACUGACGCUGAGGCACGAAAGCGUGGGGAGCAAAUAGGAUUAGAUACCCGUGUAGUC
This 464-nucleotide ribosomal RNA is filed under the name uncultured bacterium. RNAcentral's name for it is "partial 16S ribosomal RNA". It matches the Rfam family "Bacterial small subunit ribosomal RNA", at positions 338 to 795 of the family's 1533-position model. The record is from RNAcentral.